RNAcentral lists this long non-coding RNA (683 nucleotides) under Homo sapiens (human). Its description in RNAcentral is "HSALNT0145827". The record is from RNAcentral. Lineage: Eukaryota; Metazoa; Chordata; Mammalia; Primates; Hominidae.
AUCUCAAAAAAAUUGUGCCUGUUCUUUCCUCUGGAGACGGGUAGAGCAGCCUCACAGGGUACGGCCAGGAGGGAGGCACCCCGUGGAAGAGGCAUCUCAGGCACGGUCUCGGGAAGGAUCGUGGUUGUGCCAGAAGGAUUGUUUCCUCCAGCCUACUCCUGAACCUGGAAACCAGCAGCUGCUCUCUCAAUCAAGGAGAAAGAAAGUAGAGGCCGCACCUUCCUUACGUGGUGCUCAUGGAUUCAGGGAAGAAACCCAAAUCAUGACAUGAAGAUGAAGAAACAGGCACAGUGAUGGCAGGUGACUUGUUCAAAGAGCUAGACCAGCUCAAGGCCUACGUUCUUUACCACUGAGGCCUGUGUGUCUCUUAGAGUAAGAUACAAUCCCACCCUCCAAGGAGCCCCUCUGGAAACUUCCCAGCACCUUUUCCUAAAAGCUUUGAUCCUGGCCAGAAGACCUCAGCUUUCGUCUUUUCGUCUAUAAAAUAUGAACUCUAAUACUCUCAGCUUCUUAGAACUGUUGAGUCUGCUGCACCUUGCUGGAGGUCCACUCCAGGCCCUGUUUGCGUGGGUAUCACCAGCGGAGGCUGCAGAACAGAAAGAUUGCUGCCUGGCCCUUCCUCUGGAAGCUUCAUCCCAGAGGGGCACUAGCCUGAUGCCAACCAGAGCUCUCCUGUAUGAGGU